This 372-nucleotide ribosomal RNA is filed under the name uncultured organism. RNAcentral's name for it is "bacterial SSU rRNA". It matches the Rfam family "Bacterial small subunit ribosomal RNA", at positions 526 to 896 of the family's 1533-position model. The record is from RNAcentral.
CAGAGGUGGCAAGCGUUGUUCGGAAUUACUGGGCGUAAAGGGCGCGUAGGCGGCCUUCUAAGUCAGACGUGAAAUCCCCCGGCUUAACCUGGGAACUGCGUCUGAUACUGGGAGGCUUGAGUAUGGGAGAGGGAUGUAGAAUUCCAGGUGUAGCGGUGAAAUGCGUAGAUAUCUGGAGGAAUACCGGUGGCGAAGGCGGCAUCCUGGACCAUAACUGACGCUGAGGCGCGAAAGCUAGGGGAGCAAACGGGAUUAGAUACCCCGGUAGUCCUAGCCCUAAACGAUGAAUACUUGGUGUGGCGGGUAUCGAUCCCUGCCGUGCCGAAGCUAACGCAUUAAGUAUUCCGCCUGGGGAGUACGGUCGCAAGGCUG